UUGCCAGCGUUGUCCGGAUUUAUUGGGCGUAAAGCGAGCGCAGGCGGUUUCUUAAGUCUGAUGUGAAAGCCCCGCUCAACCCGGGGAGGGUCAUUGGAAACUGGAGACUUGAGUGCAAGAAAGAGGAGAAGUGAAAUUCCCUUUGUAGCGGUAAAAUGCGUAAGAUAUAUGGAGGAACACCAGUGGCGAAGGCGGCUCUCUGGUCUGUAACUGACGCUGAGGCUGGAAAGCGUGGGGAGCAAACAGGAUUAGAUACCUUGGUAGUCCACGCCGUAAACGAUGAGUGUUAAGUGUUGGAGGGUUUCCGCCCUUCAGUGUUGCAGCUAACGCAUUAACCAUUCCCCUUGGGGAGUACGACCCCAAGGUUGAAAUUCAAAGGAAUUGACGGGGGCCCGCCCAAGCGGUGGAGCAUGUGGUUUAAUUGGAAGCAACGGGAAGACCCUUACCAGGUCUUGACAUCCUUUGACCACUUUAGAGAUAGAGCUUCCCCUUCGGGGGCAAAGUGCCAGGUGGUGCAUGGUUGUCGUCAGCUCGUGUCGUGAGAUGUUGGGUUAAGUCCCGCAACGAGCGCAACCCUUAUUGUUAGUUGCCAUCAUUCAGUUGGCCAUUUUACCAAGACUGCCGGUGCCAAACCGGAGGAAGGUGGGGAGGAGGUCAAAUCAUCAUGCCCCUUAUGCCUUGGGUUCCCCACGUGUUCCAAUGGGAAGUACAACGAGUUGGGAAGUCGGGAGGUUAAGUUAAUUUUUUAAAGUUUUUUUCAGUUCGGAUUCCAGGUUGCAAUUCGCUUCCAGGAAGCCGGAAUCGUUGGUAAUCGGGGAUCACCACGCCGCGGGGAAUACGUUCCCGGCCCUUGUACACACCGCCCGCCCCACCACGGGAGUUUCACCACCUAAAGUCGUAACAAGGUCAU
RNAcentral lists this ribosomal RNA (910 nucleotides) under Enterococcus faecium. RNAcentral describes it as "bacterial SSU rRNA". It matches the Rfam family "Bacterial small subunit ribosomal RNA", at positions 532 to 1444 of the family's 1533-position model. Lineage: Bacteria; Bacillati; Bacillota; Bacilli; Lactobacillales; Enterococcaceae. The record is from RNAcentral.